GAUGAACGCUAGCUACAGGCUUAACACAUGCAAGUCGAGGAACCGGCGCACGGGUGAGUAACGCGUAUCCAACCUGCCCACCACUUGGGGAUAACCUUGCGAAAGUAAGACUAAUACCCAAUGGUGAUGGAUGGGGAUGCGUCUGAUUAGCUUGUUGGCGGGGUAACGGCCCACCAAGGCGACGAUCAGUAGGGGUUCUGAGAGGAAGGUCCCCCACAUUGGAACUGAGACACGGUCCAAACUCCUACGGGAGGCAGCAGUGAGGAAUAUUGGUCAAUGGACGAGAGUCUGAACCAGCCAAGUAGCGUGCAGGAUGACGGCCUAUGGGUUGUAAACUGCUUUUAUAAGGGAAUAUGUACCUUAUGAAUAAGGACCGGCUAAUUCCGUGCCAGCAGCCGCGGUAAUACGGAAGGUCCGGGCGUUAUCCGGAUUUAUUGGGUUUAAAGGGAGCGUAGGCCGGAGAUUAAGCGUGUUGUGAAAUGUAGAUGCUCAACAUCUGCACUGCAGCGCGAACUGGUUUCCUUGAGUACGCACAAAGUGGGCGGAAUUCGUAGUGUAGCGUGAAAAUGCUUAGAUAUCACGAAGAACUCCGA
This 593-nucleotide ribosomal RNA is filed under the name uncultured bacterium. RNAcentral describes it as "bacterial SSU rRNA". It matches the Rfam family "Bacterial small subunit ribosomal RNA", at positions 28 to 712 of the family's 1533-position model. The record is from RNAcentral.